AGCGAUAGCGUUUAGUUUGACGUGCCACACGUUGAAGGGCAAACCAUCGAACGCGACUGAGUGCACGCGGCUCGAACUGGCUGCAACGCUGUUGCUAAGGUUUCGGUCUCACAUUCAACGUACUGUAGGUGCCUCUUCUGUUAAAGGGGGGGCCCGCUUUUCUAUAGGAAUAUGUUUUCGUCUUGCGACGUAAAAGGCGUCUUGCGGGGACGCUGCAACUUUGAAGACAGCUGUGAGUGCGACGGUUAUUUCCGGUCUACUGAUGGUUCUCACCAGCCGGCAGCGCCGUACCAAGCAUCCUGGUGGGCAUACUGCGGGCAUAGCCCGGUUCACCAUGCUCGUAUGGUCCCAGGCCAGCAGCCCUUGCCAACAUGCAGCGCGCAAACAGAAGAAACAUUGCAAGAGUUCCGGGCCGCAAAUAUUGGCAAUCAUUUGAUAUGGGGAGGAGGAUCAUCCGGUAUGCGAUAUUUCAAACGUGCGGACAUCGUCUCCAAUCGCAAGUGAUGCAGCUCGUCUCACGGAUGGGCUUGAAGCAGCUCGCCGAUCUAAAGACCCACAGCCAAGUAACACGCCUUCUGCCAGCUAGCGAGUUGUCGACCAAGCUGAAACUUUGGACGUCGGCGCAGAUAGAGUGAGAAAUAUUUCAGCCGGUUUAGUAGGGCAGCAUGUCUGCUCGAAGUGUGGACUUUUUUGUGCCACGUUCAGUUUGUUUGCACACCAUACGAGAACUGUACAUAAUGGCAUUGUGACUUCAUUUGUGUGCAGCAUGUGUGUAAGUGAUUAUUUCUUUCUGAAACAUUAUCAGGAGCACCACAGAAGAUGUAAGAUUAAACAUUCGGAAAGUAAUAAGCCACGGAAAGCAGUUCAUUCAGAUGGUGAAAUAAUUGAUCGUGAUGUCGUCCCUAUGUCACUAGAGCAGCAGCCGAACAACUAUGGCAUCGUAUCCAGUAUGAUGUUGGGCCUGUGCCGGCG
Long non-coding RNA from Dermacentor albipictus, 972 nucleotides. RefSeq lists it as uncharacterized. NCBI's taxonomy places the organism in Eukaryota, Metazoa, Arthropoda, Arachnida, Ixodida, Ixodidae. The record is from RefSeq and is a predicted model, not a curated record.